This 930-nucleotide ribosomal RNA is filed under the name uncultured archaeon. RNAcentral describes it as "bacterial SSU rRNA". It matches the Rfam family "Archaeal small subunit ribosomal RNA", at positions 1 to 912 of the family's 1478-position model. The record is from RNAcentral.
UUCCGGUUGAUCCUGCCGGACCCCACUGCUAUCGAGGUGGGACUAAGCCAUGCUAGUCGAACGCACAGAACUAUGUCUGUGAGUGGCAUACUGCUCAGUAACACGUAGCUAACCUACCCUUCGGACGUGGACAACCCCGAGAAAUUGGGGCUAAUCCGCGAUAGAUGUGAUGUCCUGGAAUGGUAUUACGUCUAAAGGUAUCUCAUACAUGUUUGAUAUACGCCUAAGGAUGGGGCUGCGGCUGAUCAGGCAGUUGGCGAGGUAAUGGCUCACCAAACCAUUGACCAGUACGGGCCAUGAGAGUGGUAGCCCGGAGAUGGACACUGAGACAAGGGUCCAGGCCCUACGGGGCGCAGCAGGCGCGAAACCUCCUCAAUGCACUAACGUGCGAAGGGGUUACCUCGAGUGCUAUCUGAUGAAGGUGGCUUUUCCAUGGUCUAAAAAGCCUAGGGAAUAAGAGGGGGGCAAGACUGGUGUCAGCCGCCGCGGUAACACCAGCCCCUCGAGUGGUGGGGAUGAUUAUUUGGCCUAAAGCGUCCGUAGCCGGCCGGAUAUGUUUCCCGUUAAAUCUAACGUCUCAAGCGUUAGGCUGCGGGAAAUACUGUCUAGCUAGAGAGUGGGAGAGGUCAGCGGUAUUCUGGGGGUAGGGGCGAAAUCCUUUGAUCCCCGGAGGACCACCAGUGGCGAAGGCUGCUGACUAGAACACGUCUGACGGUCAGGGACGAAAGCUGGGGUAGCGAACCGGAUUAGAUACCCGGGUAGUCCCAGCCGUAAACGAUGCAUACUAGGUGUUGGGUUGGCCACGAGCCACCCCAGUGCCGCAGGGAAGCCGUUAAGUAUGCCGCCUGGGAAGUACGAUCGCAAGGUUGAAACUUAAAGGAAUUGGCGGGGGAGCACCACCAGGCGUGAAGCCUGCGGUUUAAUUGGAGU